CUACGGGCCGCAGCAGUGAGGAAUAUUGCACAAUGGGGGGAACCCUGAUGCAGCAACGCCGCGUGGAGGAUGACGCAUUUCGGUGUGUAAACUCCUUUUAUAUGUCAAGAAAAUGACGGUAGCAUAUGAAUAAGCACCGACUAACUCCGUGCCAGCAGCCGCGGUAAUACAGAGGGUGCAAGCGUUACUCGGAAUCACUGGGCGUAAAGGACGCGUAGGCGGGUUGGAAAGUCAGGUGUGAAAUCCUACAGCUUAACUGUAGAACUGCACUUGAAACUUCUAAUCUAGAGUAUGGGAGGGGGAGAUGGAAUUAGUGGUGUAGGGGUAAAAUCCGUAGAUAUCACUAGGAGUACCUAAAGCGAAGGCGAUCUCCUGGAACAUUACUGACGCUAAGGCGUGAAAGCGUGGGGAGCAAACAGGAUUAGAUACCCCGGUAGUC
This 439-nucleotide ribosomal RNA is filed under the name uncultured bacterium. RNAcentral's name for it is "partial 16S ribosomal RNA". It matches the Rfam family "Bacterial small subunit ribosomal RNA", at positions 339 to 795 of the family's 1533-position model. The record is from RNAcentral.